UACGGAGGGUGCAAGCGUUAUCCGGAUUUACUGGGUUUAAAGGGUGCGCAGGCGGAUAUGUAAGUCAGUGGUGAAAUCUCUAGGCUUAACCUGGAAAUUGCCGUUGAUACUAUAUAUCUUGAAUGCUGUGGAGGUAAGCGGAAUAUGUCAUGUAGCGGUGAAAUGCUUAGAUAUGACAUAGAACACCUAUUGCGAAGGCAGCUUACUACGCAGAUAUUGACGCUCAUGCACGCAAGCGUGGGGAUCAAACAGG
This 253-nucleotide ribosomal RNA is filed under the name uncultured bacterium. RNAcentral describes it as "partial 16S ribosomal RNA". It matches the Rfam family "Bacterial small subunit ribosomal RNA", at positions 524 to 776 of the family's 1533-position model. The record is from RNAcentral.